GGCUUAUAAGUUUGUGGUGGGGUAAUGGCUACCCAAGGUGAGGACGGGUAGCCGACCUGAGAGGGUGAUCGGCCACACUGGGACUGAGACAAGGCCCAGAUUCCUCCGGGAGGCAGCAGUGGGGAAUAUUGCACAAUGGGCGCAAGCCUGAUGCAGCGACGCCGCGUGAGGGAUGACGGCCUUCGGGUUGUAAACCUCUUUCAGCAGGGACGAAGCGCGAGUGACGGUACCUGCAGAAGAAUCACCGGCCAACUACGUGCCAGCAGCCGCGGUAAUACGUAGGGUGCGAGCGUUGUCCGGAAUUACUGGGCGUAAAGAGCUCGUAGGCGGUUUGUCGCGUCGUCUGUGAAAUUCUGCAGCUUAACUGCAGGCGUGCAGGCGAUACGGGCAGACUUGAGUACUACAGGGGAGACUGGAAUUCCUGGUGUAGCGGUGAAAUGCGCAGAUAUCAGGAGGAACACCGGUGGCGAAGGCGGGUCUCUGGGUAGUAACUGACGCUGAGGAGCGAAAGCGUGGGUAGCGAACAGGAUUAGAUACCCUGGUAGUCCACGCCGUAAACGGUGGGUACUAGGUGUGGGUUCCAUUUCACGGGAUCCGUGCCGUAGCUAACGCAUUAAGUACCCCGCCUGGGGAGUACGGCCGCAAGGCUAAAACUCAAAGGAAUUGACGGGGGCCCGCACAAGCGGCGGAGCAUGUGGAUUAAUUCGAUGCAACGCGAAGAACCUUACCUGGGUUUGACAUACACCAGACGCCAGCAGAGAUGUUGGUUCCCUUGUGGUUGGUGUACAGGUGGUGCAUGGCUGUCGUCAGCUCGUGUCGUGAGGUGUUGGGUUAAGUCCCGCAACGAGCGCAACCCUUGUCCUGUAUUGCCAGCGGGUUAUGCCGGGGACUUGCAGGAGACUGCCGGGGUCAACUCGGAGGAAGGUGGGGAUGACGUCAAGUCAUCAUGCCCCUUAUGUCCAGGGCUUCACACAUGCUACAAUGGCCGGUACAGAGGGCUGCGAUACCGUGAGGUGGAGCGAAUCCCUUAAAGCCGGUCUCAGUUCGGAUCGGGGUCUGCAACUCGACCCCGUGAAGUCGGAGUCGCUAGUAAUCGCAGAUCAGCAACGCUGCGGUGAAUACGUUCCCGGGCCUUGUACACACCGCCCGUCACGUCAUGAAAGUCGGUAACACCCGAAGCCGGGGCCUAACCCCU
This 1195-nucleotide ribosomal RNA is filed under the name Gordonia polyisoprenivorans. RNAcentral's name for it is "bacterial SSU rRNA". It matches the Rfam family "Bacterial small subunit ribosomal RNA", at positions 235 to 1443 of the family's 1533-position model. Lineage: Bacteria; Bacillati; Actinomycetota; Actinomycetes; Mycobacteriales; Gordoniaceae. The record is from RNAcentral.